AUGGAUGGUGUUCUCUCACUUCAUGAAAUCCUUAAUUACACUCACAUGAAAAAGAGGGUUGGCGUGGUGUUGAAACUGGAUUUCGAGAAAGCUUAUGAUAAGGUUAACUGGGAUUUCUUAUUAGAAUGUCAUAAACUGCGAGGAUUCAAUGAAACCUGGUGUGGGUGGAUUAACCAGAUUCUUCGGAAUGGCACGGUUAGCAUUAAAUUGAAUAACUGUGUGGGGCCGUACUUCCAAAGUGCUAAAGGGGUACGGCAAGGCGACCCUCACUCUCCAUUCCUGUUUAACUUAGCUGCCGAAUGCCUCACGAAAAUGAUCAAAAAUGCCCAACGUAAUAAGCUGCUGGUUGGUUUAGCUGCGGAUCUGAUCCCCGAUGGGGUUGCGAUUCUCCAAUACGCAGAUGACACAAUAAUCUGUCUCGAACAUGACAUCGACAGAGCAGUCAAACUGAAGUUGCUGUUGUAUAUGUUUGAAAUGAUGUCUGGGUUGAAAGUCAACUUUCAAAAAAGUGAGAUUUUGACUGUGGGGGGAGAUGAUGCUGUGAUUAAGCAAUAUGCCGACCUCUUCAAUUGUGAUAUAGGUAGCUUCGCCAUCAAAUACCUGGGCAUGCCCGUUAGUUAUACCACCUUGAGAAACUCUGAUUGGGAGUUCAUUGUCUGCAAAUAUCUAAAGAGAUUUGAAGCUUGGGUGGGCAAUGCUGCCUCCAUGGGAGGGAGACACACUUUAUUUUACUCUGUUGUCACCCAGUUAUCGCUGUAUCAUAUGUCUAUGUGGUUGAUGAACAAGACGUUCAUUGAAAACCUGGAUAAGCAUAGAAGAAGAUUCUUCUGGCAAGGGUGUAACAAGAAAAAAAGAAAUUACCUUGUGAAAUGGAGUAGAAUCUGCAGAUCUAAAGAGAAGGGCGGUCUAGGGAUUAAAGACCUGCGCAAACAGAAUAUCAGUCUGAUGGUAAAAUGGUGGUGGAAGCUAGAAACACAAAGUGGGGUGUGGCAAGAUAUUGUUCAUGCUCGCUACUUGCGGAAUAGGACAGUAGCUGAUGUUGGCCCAAGAUUUUCUGACUCUCCUUGUUGGAAAGCCCUGCUGAAAGUCAAGGAAAUUUACAUGGCUGGUAGGAAGAUUAAUAUUGAAUCUGGGAACAUUGCUAGGGUGUGGAGUGAUCCUAUUAACGGACUGCUUCCGUUUCAAGGAUCAAUACCCUCAGCUAUUUGA
RNAcentral lists this ribosomal RNA (1209 nucleotides) under Triticum aestivum (bread wheat). Its description in RNAcentral is "partial small subunit ribosomal RNA". The record is from RNAcentral. Lineage: Eukaryota; Viridiplantae; Streptophyta; Magnoliopsida; Poales; Poaceae.